CUCAUUAAUAUGGGUGGCCUAUUGCUCUU
RNAcentral lists this non-coding RNA (29 nucleotides) under Mus musculus (house mouse). The record is from RNAcentral. Lineage: Eukaryota; Metazoa; Chordata; Mammalia; Rodentia; Muridae.